UGGGUGGGUGACGGUACCUGCAGAAGAAGCGCCGGCUAACUACGUGCCAGCAGCCGCGGUAAUACGUAGGGCGCAAGCGUUAUCCGGAAUUAUUGGGCGUAAAGAGCUCGUAGGCGGUUUGUCGCGUCUGCCGUGAAAGUCCGGGGCUUAACUCCGGAUCUGCGGUGGGUACGGGCAGACUAGAGUGCAGUAGGGGAGACUGGAAUUCCUGGUGUAGCGGUGAAAUGCGCAGAUAUCAGGAGGAACACCGAUGGCGAAGGCAGGUCUCUGGGCUGUAACUGACGCUGAGGAGCGAAAGCAUGGGGAGCGAACAGGAUUAGAUACCCUGGUAGUCCAUGCCGUAAACGUUGGGCACUAGG
This 359-nucleotide ribosomal RNA is filed under the name Arthrobacter sp. AP1H9. Its description in RNAcentral is "bacterial SSU rRNA". It matches the Rfam family "Bacterial small subunit ribosomal RNA", at positions 462 to 820 of the family's 1533-position model. The record is from RNAcentral. Lineage: Bacteria; Bacillati; Actinomycetota; Actinomycetes; Micrococcales; Micrococcaceae.